UACGUAGGGGGCAAGCGUUGUCCGGAUUUAUUGGGCGUAAAGAGCGUGUAGGCGGCCAGACAGGUCCGUUGUGAAAACUCGAGGCUCAACCUCGAGAUGUCGAUGGAAACCGUCUGGCUAGAGUCCGGAAGAGGAGUGUGGAAUUCCUGGUGUAGCGGUGAAAUGCGCAGAUAUCAGGAAGAACACCCGUGGCGAAGGCGGCUCCUCUGGGACGGUA
RNAcentral lists this ribosomal RNA (217 nucleotides) under uncultured bacterium. RNAcentral's name for it is "partial 16S ribosomal RNA". It matches the Rfam family "Bacterial small subunit ribosomal RNA", at positions 524 to 739 of the family's 1533-position model. The record is from RNAcentral.